UAAAUGGCUUUUUUUAAAGCUACAUACAAACAAAAGAAACCAACUU
Molecule: non-coding RNA, 46 nt
Organism: Pelodiscus sinensis (Chinese soft-shelled turtle)
Lineage: Eukaryota; Metazoa; Chordata; Testudines; Trionychidae
Source: Rfam